This 1320-nucleotide long non-coding RNA is filed under the name Macaca fascicularis (crab-eating macaque). Its description in RNAcentral is "lncRNA (ENSMFAG00000064684.1)". Lineage: Eukaryota; Metazoa; Chordata; Mammalia; Primates; Cercopithecidae. The record is from RNAcentral.
GCACAAACACGCCCUCCCUGCCGCGCUCGCCGCCGCGGCCACCAUCUCGGAGCCGAGCCCUGCGGAGCGGGAACCGAAGCCGGAGCGGGGACCGGAGGCAGCCGAGCAGGGGAUGCCGACCCGGAGCGGAGCCACGCGCGGACUGCGCGCCCAAGACGCCUCUGGCAGCCACAGGCCCUGAGGCUCCAGUGCCCAGAGGCAGAGAGGGCAACUGAGUCCAGCCCAGGCUGAGCCCCGCCCAACUGUGCUCCCCAGACACCCACCCAACCCGAGGUAAGACGCCACUCUGGGCAGCGGGGCAUGGAGGGUGUGGGGUCUGUAGGGGAGGCUGUCAUGGGGCCCUCUUUCUGGGGCUUUCCCCAUCUCUCCCCCACCACAUGCAGCCAUGCUCAGGAGGUUGCUGUGGCGGUGCCACUUGCCGCCAGCCCUUGCUGUAGCAGGGCUCCGGCAGGCAGCUUGGAAGCCUGGGGCGUUCUUCCCAGCAACUGGGUUUCAUGGACAGUUCCGGCUAAUGGGUUCCCACGUGGCAUGGGAGGUCUCUGAGGGCAGGCUGCAGGGCUCUGUCCUUGGUCCUGUCACAUUGUUGACCAAAUGUGUGCCUGACUUCAGGUCGGGAGGGAGCCAGAAGACGUGGACUGAGACAAUCAGGGUCCAAGGAACUGUCAAGAGGCCGACAUUGGCUUUAAUGUGUGGAGUUUAACAGGGUUCCACACCAGAGACAGCGCGCGGGUCCAGACGCCUUCAGGGCAGGAUGAGGCUUAGACCCCAGGUGUGUUUGUGCGACAAGCACUGGCAGCCAGGUGACCUUGGUUCUCUGUGAACAGAGCAGAUGGGUUCUUGAACUGUAUCACGAGGAGUAGGAUCCCCAGAAUUGUGGGAGGUAACAGGUCCUUUCACUUCAUGGUCCAUGUGAGGGGUUGUGGAGAAAUGACAGCGUGUCCCAGAGAAGUGGGAGAUGGGGAAGGAGGGGGACCUGGGUUACUGCCUGGCUUGACCCCUGACUUGCUCAUGACCUUGGACAAGUCCCCUCUACUCCAUAUCUGGGCCAGUCCCCUGUUCUUGACAGGCCUCUGUCACCCAUGAGAGGGCUGCAGAGGGACUUUGCUAAACAGAGGGAACAGUAGGGUGGGCUUGGGGCAGCAGGCUGGCCUGGCGGAUUGUCCUUAUUUUUCAGAGGAAGAAGCCUGGCGGCAGGCCUGGACUCCCUUCUCCUGAGGGAUCGGGUGACGGUUGUGUGUGGCUGAGGCUCAGCCAGCCCUGUCCUCACACUGGGAAGCUGGUGGGAGCAGAGGCCUGGAUUUCCUUCCCAGGCACUAGACC